RNAcentral lists this ribosomal RNA (912 nucleotides) under uncultured bacterium. RNAcentral's name for it is "bacterial SSU rRNA". It matches the Rfam family "Bacterial small subunit ribosomal RNA", at positions 59 to 977 of the family's 1533-position model. The record is from RNAcentral.
GAGUCGACGAUAACCAGAGGAUACCUUCGGGUAAUCUCCGGGGACAGUGGCGAACGGGUGAGUAACACGUGGGUAACCUGCCUCUAAGACGGGCACAACAGGAGGAAACUCCUGCUAAUUCCCGAUAUUCUCCAGCCGUGCAAGCGGCUGCAGGAAAGCUUUUGCGCUUAGAGAUGGGCCCGCGGCCGAUUAGCUAGUUGGUGAGGUAAUGGCUCACCAAGGCGACGAUCGGUAGCCGACCUGAGAGGGUGACCGGCCACACUGGGACUGAGACAUGGUCCAGACUCCUACGGGAGUUAGCAUCAGGGAAUCUUGCUCAAUGGGCGAAAGCCUGAAGCAGCGACGCCGCGUGGGUGAUGAAGGUCUGCGGAUCGUAAAGCCCUGUCAGGAGGGAAGAAGUUCUGACUCAACCUCCAGAGGAAGCCCCGGCUAACUACGUGCCAGCAGCCGCGGUAACACGUAGGGGGCAAGCGUUGUCCGGAAUUACUGGGCGUAAAGCGCGCGCAGGCGGCUUGGUAAGCAUCGGGUGAAAUUCUGGGGCUCAACCCCAGCGCUGCUCGAUGAACUGCCUCGCUAGAGUACGGGAGAGGGCAGUGGAAUUGCUGGUGUAGCGGUGGAAUGCGUAAAUAUCAGCAAGAACACCGGUGGCGAAGGCUGCUGCCUGGAACGGUACUGACGCUGAGGCGCGAAAGCUAGGGGAGCGAACGGGAUUAGAUACCCCGGUAGUCCUAGCCGUAAACGAUGGACACUAGGUGUUGCGAGCAUCGACCCUCGCAGUGCUGUUCUGCUAACGCGUUAAGUGUCCCGCCUGGGGAGUACGGCCGCAAGGUUGAAACUCAAAGGAAUUGACGGGGGCCCGCACAAGCGGUGGAGCAUGCGGGUUAAUAGGAUGAUACCCCAGAACCUUACCAG